GGGGCUGUAGCUCAGUGGUAGAGCAUAUGCUUUGCAUGUAUGAGGCCAUGGGUUCAAGCCCCAGCAUCUCCA
Molecule: non-coding RNA, 72 nt
Organism: Mauremys mutica (yellowpond turtle)
Lineage: Eukaryota; Metazoa; Chordata; Testudines; Geoemydidae
Source: the annotation of a RefSeq genome assembly